This 139-nucleotide unclassified non-coding RNA is filed under the name Bradyrhizobium erythrophlei. Lineage: Bacteria; Pseudomonadati; Pseudomonadota; Alphaproteobacteria; Hyphomicrobiales; Nitrobacteraceae. The record is from RNAcentral.
AAGAGCGUAGUGCGGUAAAUCCGCACGCUACGUUCUGUGGGAACGGGAGGCGGGCGACCGCCUUCCGUGACCCGGUGGGCGGUCAGCAAUGACCGUCCCUACCGCGCUUCACAUUGAGCUUUUCCGGUUUUGACCCAAU